UUCCCCUAGUAACUGCGAGUGAAGCGGGAAAAGCUCAAAUUUAAAAUCUGGCGGUCUUUGGCCGUCCGAGUUGUAAUCUAGAGAAGUGUUAUCCGCGCUGGNCCGUGUACAAGUCUCCUGGAAUGGAGCGUCAUAGAGGGUGAGAAUCCCGUCUUUGACACGGACUGCCAGGGCUUUGUGAUGCGCUCUCAAAGAGUCGAGUUGUUUGGGAAUGCAGCUCAAAAUGGGUGGUAAAUUCCAUCUAAAGCUAAAUAUUGGCGAGAGACCGAUAGCGAACAAGUACCGUGAGGGAAAGAUGAAAAGAACUUUGGAAAGAGAGUUAAACAGUACGUGAAAUUGCUGAAAGGGAAACGCUUGAAGUCAGUCGCGUUGGCCGGGAAUCAACCUUGCUUUUGCUGGGCGUACUUUCCGGUUGACGGGUCAACAUCAAUUUUGACCGUUGGAUAAAGGCUGAGGGAAUGUGGCUUCUUCGGGAGUGUUAUAGCCCUUGGUCGCAUACAACGGUUGGGAUUGAGGAACUCAGCACGCNGCAAGGCCGGG
This 540-nucleotide ribosomal RNA is filed under the name Psilocybe subcubensis. RNAcentral's name for it is "eukaryotic LSU rRNA". It matches the Rfam family "Eukaryotic large subunit ribosomal RNA", at positions 75 to 615 of the family's 3401-position model. Lineage: Eukaryota; Fungi; Basidiomycota; Agaricomycetes; Agaricales; Agrocybaceae. The record is from RNAcentral.